GACAUACUUGUCGAUCGAAAAGAUCGAUGGAGAGAAAAUCCCAACCCUAUUUUAGUUGUCACUUUCAAAAAAGUAAACAUGACGGAAAUCAACACAGAAAAAUGAAAUAUUUGGUGAAAAAUGAAUUAAUUUGGCCUACUUAAUGCUCUGAUCUGUUUAGAAAUAAUUGAACAAAGUAUUGAAAAGAAGGGUGUUGAAGAUUAUCUCCUAUUUUUGGCAAUAAUGGUUGAAAAAUAUUGAUUCUUUUACUGUACACUGUUUAUAGUUUGUACAUGGAUUCUGGCACUAUGAAGAAAUACAAGAUAUCUAAGGAACGAUUAACUGAAGCAAAACUUUUACAAAGAAUCAUAAGAGAUAGAUGAAAAUUUAUACAAAAUUAUUUGGAUAAAAGAAAAAUAGAAGGAACUUUACAUAUUUGAAAUGAUUAUUAAUCUGAAGACAUAUAUGUGAUGAAGAGUUAUACAGAAUAAAUUACAUAAAUUAUACUUUCAACAAUGUAAAUAAAGCAGAGAUCAUGUUGAAAUAUUUCUGAAGUAACUAUGCUAAAAGGACUAUGUGAAUCGUUAAUAUACCAGCUUAUGAUGUCUUGCCUUCAUCGAAGACACCUAAUACAUAUUUUUUCAGCUAGAAAUGAUUUAGUUGAUCACAGAGUACUACCAUAUAUACCUGUUUAGUUAUACAUCUUGAUUUAUAGACAUUCAUUGUAUAUAUUUUUAUAUGUUAAGGAAAUAAAGAAAAUAUUAAUUGUCAGUUUAUGGUUGUUUCGUCUUGACCUUCAGAAUCAUUAUUAUACAUUAUUGAAACAAAAAAAUA
Long non-coding RNA from Sitophilus oryzae (rice weevil), 813 nucleotides. RefSeq lists it as uncharacterized. The record is from RefSeq and is a predicted model, not a curated record. The transcript has 3 exons. Lineage: Eukaryota; Metazoa; Arthropoda; Insecta; Coleoptera; Curculionidae.